RNAcentral lists this long non-coding RNA (2069 nucleotides) under Stylophora pistillata. Its description in RNAcentral is "uncharacterized LOC111319213". Lineage: Eukaryota; Metazoa; Cnidaria; Anthozoa; Scleractinia; Pocilloporidae. The record is from RNAcentral.
ACUCAGCCUGAAAUUUGGUCUAUAAAGUACCACAUGCAUAAGAACACGUUCAGUCUGAAAGAUGAAAAUUGUUCUUAAAUAUAAAAAAAAAUUGGCUGACAAUAAUGUAGUAAUCAGAAAUAUAUCUUCUUGAAGGAACGGUUUGGCUUUAAGUUUUAUUCCCUUUUUAAUUUCCUAUCCUAAUUUCCUGACCCCAUAGCUGAAUAGCCUGGUCACAAGUUCUAAGAUGCAUUUGGUUGGAAAAUGAACACUGACCGUUGACCAUCAUUGUUUCUUGAACGUCAAAGUAUUAUUUGGAUUUUCUAAUGAUCUUGCAUGUGUGCAAUGUGAGAAGACUAUGAAAGGUUCCUUCAGAUUCUAUUGAGAACUAACAUGACCUUGAUGCUUUGUUAAAAACAAAAUAUAAUUUUGAAGAAAUGGCUCAAAUUUUUUGGAAAGGUGAUAGCAUGACACUGCAUAAGUUAUAAAGAGACAUGCUAUCACAGAUUUGAUGAAAAAACAGUUUUUAUUCUCAUUCUGCAUUUUCUAUCCAGUCUGCAUUUUGUACAUGGCAUGCAUUCUGCAUUUUGUAGCUAGGCUGCAUUUUGUACCCAGCACACAGUCUGCAUUUUUACUGACUGCCAAGCUGUAAUUUACCACUUACACAUACCAUGUAUUGUAUUUCUGUUACAUUUCAUUGGUUUCCUUCUGCAGUUGCUUUCAUGUUCAACUGCACAGGUAGCAGGGAAUAUGACCCUCUCGAAAGUAUUAAUUGCUGAAAGAUCAUUUUAAUUCACAUUCAUCAAUCACAGAUAAAAUCAGGGUGCUGGGCAUUUAUCAAAGUAUUUAUUAUUAUAAUUUAAAGUAUCCAGUUAGUCACUAAGAUCGCAAUCACAGCCACAAUAUACAAUGCUUUCGGAGCAUGAAAUAUGAACUGAGUUAGUCUCACAUUAUCUGCCUGCGGUGAUGCAAUUAAGUUAUAAUGUUGAAAAUUCUCCUUUAACUUCUCCUUUUCCCCUUUGCAUUCUCCUCAUCUUCCUCCUCCUCCUCUUCAUCAUUAUCAUUGUCACCUCAUCAUUAUUUCAUAAAGUUCAAUGCAUAUUGGUUAUCAGUUGCUUUACUUGUUUUCACAGAGCAAUAUUGGUUGACUCAUUCAAUCAUUUCUAAUUUAAUAACAGAGCCUUGGUGCAGAUCAAGGGUGACAUUAUAACACGCUGACACUUGACCUCAGAAUGCCGGAAAUCUCAUUUCUGAAUACCUCAAUUUUAAGAAUUUACUGGAAGUAUCUUGAACUCCCUUACCAAAAAUCCUAUAUAUUCCUCCCAGCAAACCAUGUUUAGUUAUUUGUUUCUAGGAGAUGAUAUACAGUCUGAACUGCACAUUCCAAAAGUUUUACCUGAUUUAUUUUUUGUUUUUAUAUGACUGAAUGCUCUAUCAUUAAGACUGUGAGCUCUUGUAAACUCUUUUGCAUAAUUUUUUAUACACAAAUAAUACUGUAGUUUACAAGGCCUAUCCCAUGGUAUUUAUUUUAUACCACCUUUAAGAUUCCAGUCCUGAAACUCUAAGCCAGGGGCUAGUAGGUGCAUUACCUAUAAAGAAAGGAAGGAAGCUUUGCAAAAGUUGCAUGCAACCCAACCCUUCAGCCAGUAAGAGUUGCAAGGUGGAGGGUUGUGGGGCUAACUUCCCAGAAAAAUCAUUCGACUGGGAAAAAAUACACCGCAGCGGGAGUGUACCAGCAGUGGAGAAGCAGAGAGCUGUAGUGGCUUAUGUCCUGAAUGACCAGAUUCUCUCCGUCGGAAUUGUAGACGUAAACCGUUGCGUACUUCAUGGCCACAAGAUUGAGAGAGGAUUCGUCUGUAUCCUAGUAACGUACGUUAAAAACAAACGCAUGCCUGCGCCCAUAAUUUUGGGAGAUCGCGAGGAAAAUAGAUUCCUUCAGAAAGGAAUGAACUUUUUCUUGCCUAUUGGUAACUUGUUCAAAUGUCAAAAAUUUAUUGCAGGCGACAAAGUGGUUUUACUCCAAUAUGAAAAUUCAAAAUAAUGUUAGCCGUAAAGACCAACAAUAAAACUUGAUUUUGUAAACGUUUCAA